GGAGAGAUAAGUGCCAGCAGGCGCGGUAAGACGGAAGGGGCAUGCGUUAAUCGGAAGUACGGGGCGUAAGGGUGCGCAGGCGGUUCGUUAAGAGAGAUGUGAAAUCCCCGGGGUUGACCUGGGAGGUGCGCUUGGGACUGUCGUGCUGGAGUUCGGGAGAGGAGAGUGGAAUUCCCAGUGUAGAGGUGAAAGUCGUAGAUAUUGGGAAGAACACCGGUGGCGAAGGCGGCUCUCUGGACCGAUACUGACGCUGAGGCGCGAAAGCGUGGGGAGCAAACAGGAUUAGAUACCCUUGUAGUC
This 300-nucleotide ribosomal RNA is filed under the name uncultured Bacillus sp. Its description in RNAcentral is "partial 16S ribosomal RNA". It matches the Rfam family "Bacterial small subunit ribosomal RNA", at positions 495 to 795 of the family's 1533-position model. Lineage: Bacteria; Bacillati; Bacillota; Bacilli; Caryophanales; Bacillaceae. The record is from RNAcentral.